AGCGAACGUUAGCGGCGCGCCUAACACAUGCAAGUCGCACGAGAAACGGAGCAAUCCGCGGUACAGUGGCGCACGGGUGAGUAACACGUGGAUGACCUUCCCUGGAGUGGUGGAUAACCUGCCGAAAGGCGGGCCAAUACAGCAUGGGACCACGACGCUUUGGCGAUGUGGUGAAAGCGGGCCUCUAUAUAUAAGCUCGCGCUCCGGGACGGGUCCGCGUCCCAUCAGCUAGUUGGUGAGGUAACGGCUCACCAAGGCAACGACGGGUAGCUGGUCUGAGAGGAUGGCCAGCCACACUGGAACUGAGACACGGUCCAGACUCCUACGGGAGGCAGCAGUGGGGAAUCUUGCGCAAUGGGCGAAAGCCUGACGCAGCGACGCCGCGUGGGCGAAGAAGGCCUC
This 402-nucleotide ribosomal RNA is filed under the name uncultured bacterium. RNAcentral describes it as "bacterial SSU rRNA". It matches the Rfam family "Bacterial small subunit ribosomal RNA", at positions 29 to 418 of the family's 1533-position model. The record is from RNAcentral.